Molecule: ribosomal RNA, 535 nt
Filed under: uncultured Pseudomonadota bacterium
Lineage: Bacteria; Pseudomonadati; Pseudomonadota
Description: bacterial SSU rRNA
Rfam family: Bacterial small subunit ribosomal RNA
Source: RNAcentral
AGAGUUUGAUCAUGGCUCAGAACGAACGCUGGCGGCGUGCCUAACACAUGCAAGUCGAACGUGAUUAGAGAGCUUGCUCUCUAUGAAAGUGGCGCACGGGUGAGUAACGCGUAGAUAAUCUGCCUGAUGAUCGGGGAUAACACUUCGAAAGGGGUGCUAAUACCGGAUAAGCCCACGGUGUCUUUGGACACUGCGGGAAAAGGGGGGGACCUUCGGGCCUUCUGUCAUCAGAUGAGUCUGCGUACCAUUAGCUAGUUGGUAGGGUAAAGGCCUACCAAGGCGACGAUGGUUAGCUGGUCUGAGAGGAUGAUCAGCCACACUGGAACUGAGACACGGUCCAGACUCCUACGGGAGGCAGCAGUGGGGAAUUUUGCGCAAUGGGGGAAACCCUGACGCAGCAACGCCGCGUGAGUGAUGAAGGCUCUUGGGUCGUAAAGCUCUGACAGAGGGAAAGAAGUGUAUUGUGGCUAAUAUCCACGAUACUUGACGGUACCUCAAAGGAAGCACCGGCUACUUCGUGCCAGCAGCCGCGGUA